UCCUGAAACCUUUAUUUUUGUGUCUCCCUGCUUCAAAGCUUUGUUUUCUGUAGCCAAAUUAGUCCAGAAAGUUAUGAUUUGCUGGCCUAGGCCGGCAAAAAUAUCACUAAAAAUUGGUUGGUGGAACUGAUUUAAUUUGCAAUGACAGUUCUAAAUUUAAAUUAAAUUGUUAGAAUGAUAGGCAUAUUUUUUGUGCAAAUUCCAUUUUAAGCACUUUAUGGCUUGGUAGGUAACAUAGUAAUACGUAUAUGUAAAUGCGGUAGUGCGGUUAUGACACUUGUACAUGUUUACCGAUGGUAAACUUACGGUUUAUG
Long non-coding RNA from Photinus pyralis (common eastern firefly), 314 nucleotides. RefSeq lists it as uncharacterized. The transcript is spliced from 2 exons. The record is from RefSeq and is a predicted model, not a curated record. Lineage: Eukaryota; Metazoa; Arthropoda; Insecta; Coleoptera; Lampyridae.